This 886-nucleotide ribosomal RNA is filed under the name Bacillus amyloliquefaciens. RNAcentral describes it as "bacterial SSU rRNA". It matches the Rfam family "Bacterial small subunit ribosomal RNA", at positions 44 to 873 of the family's 1533-position model. The record is from RNAcentral. Lineage: Bacteria; Bacillati; Bacillota; Bacilli; Caryophanales; Bacillaceae.
GUGCUACACAUGCAGUCGAGCGAGACGAUGAUCGCGGUAGACUUGCUCCCUGAUGUUAGCGGCGGACGGGUGAGUAACACGUGGGUAACCUGCCUGUAAGACUGGGAUAACUCCGGGAAACCGGGGCUAAUACCGGAUGGUUGUUUGAACCGCAUGGUUCAGACAUAAAAGGUGGCUUCGGCUACCACUUACAGAUGGACCCGCGGCGCAUUAGCUAGUUGGUGAGGUAACGGCUCACCAAGGCGACGAUGCGUAGCCGACCUGAGAGGGUGAUCGGCCACACUGGGACUGAGACACGGCCCAGACUCCUACGGGAGGCAGCAGUAGGGAAUCUUCCGCAAUGGACGAAAGUCUGACGGAGCAACGCCGCGUGAGUGAUGAAGGUUUUCGGAUCGUAAAGCUCUGUUGUUAGGGAAGAACAAGUGCCGUUCAAAUAGGGCGGCACCUUGACGGUACCUAACCAGAAAGCCACGGCUAACUACGUGCCAGCAGCCGCGGUAAUACGUAGGUGGCAAGCGUUGUCCGGGAAUUAUUGGGCGUAAAGGGCUCGCAGGCGGUUUCUUAAGUCUGAUGUGAAAGCCCCCGGCUCAACCGGGGAGGGUCAUUGGAAACUGGGGAACUUGAGUGCAGAAGAGGAGAGUGGAAUUCCACGUGUAGCGGUGAAAUGCGUAGAGAUGUGGAGGAACACCAGUGGCGAAGGCGACUCUCUGGUCUGUAACUGACGCUGAGGAGCGAAAGCGUGGGGAGCGAACAGGAUUAGAUACCCUGGUAGUCCACGCCGUAAACGAUGAGUGCUAAGUGUUAGGGGGUUUCCGCCCCUUAGUGCUGCAGCUAACGCAUUAAGCACUCCGCCCCGCGGAGUAGGGGCCAGGAGUGUUACUCCAAA